UUUAAAGAGAGUUUGAUCCUGGCUCAGGACGAACGCUGGCGGCGUGCCUAAUACAUGCAAGUCGAACGAACGGAGGAAGAGCUUGCUCUUCCAAUGUUAGUGGCGGACGGGUGAGUAACACGUGGGCAACCUGCCUGUAAGUUGGGGAUAACUCCGGGAAACC
Molecule: ribosomal RNA, 163 nt
Filed under: Listeria monocytogenes
Lineage: Bacteria; Bacillati; Bacillota; Bacilli; Caryophanales; Listeriaceae
Description: partial 16S ribosomal RNA
Rfam family: Bacterial small subunit ribosomal RNA
Source: RNAcentral